This is a long non-coding RNA of Rosa rugosa (rugosa rose), 600 nucleotides long. RefSeq lists it as uncharacterized. The transcript has 3 exons. NCBI's taxonomy places the organism in Eukaryota, Viridiplantae, Streptophyta, Magnoliopsida, Rosales, Rosaceae. The record is from RefSeq and is a predicted model, not a curated record.
AUCUUACGAGAUCUAUAAUUGAUUUCAUCUCAGAGUCCAUAGACUCCGACUCAGUGUGGUUCACCGUUCACUCCCUCACCACCUCUCUCUUUUUCCGGCGACCUCUGUUCUCUCCGAAACCUCCGUCCGCCUGUGAAUGAUCGACGUCGGAUUCAAGCAUUUUCUUCCUCAAUUGAGCAUCGUCGGAUCUUGUAUCUCACUCGCAGCGAUUCGUGCAUAGCUUGACCUCCAUGGCGUCGAUUUCAAGUGGAUUCUUCUUAUAGAUGCUCCCGACUAGUGUGCAUCCUUCAUCUCGUUUCUUUGAGCUCCGGUGUGCCUCUCUCUCUCUCUCUCUCGUUUUACUCUCUCGGUUGCUUAUGUAGAAAAUGAUCCAGGUGGUGGAAGUGAUGUUGAAACAUCAGGAGGACCUGUACAUCCUCAAACCUUGAGGCUGUGAGCAGAACAUCACAGAGCAAGGAUGAUCUAGCUAGCAUGUUUUAUAUUUGACUAUUAGUUUAAUUAUACUAUGAUUUUGUAAUAUGAAGUUUAAUUGACAUAAUUGACUACAUGAAUGCUUCCUUUUAUUAUCCUUGAAUGAAAGGAUUUAAUUGAAACAUUGUC